AAAUUGAAGAGUUUGAUCAUGGCUCAGAUUGAACGCUGGCGGCAGGCCUAACACAUGCAAGUCGAACGGUAACAGGAAUCAGCUUGCUGAUUUGCUGACGAGUGGCGGACGGGUGAGUAAUGUCUGGGAAACUGCCUGAUGGAGGGGGAUAACUACUGGAAACGGUAGCUAAUACCGCAUAACGUCGCAAGACCAAAGAGGGGGACCUUCGGGCCUCUUGCCAUCGGAUGUGCCCAGAUGGGAUUAGCUAGUAGGUGGGGUAAAGGCUCACCUAGGCGACGAUCCCUAGCUGGUCUGAGAGGAUGACCAGCCACACUGGAACUGAGACACGGUCCAGACUCCUACGGGAGGCAGCAGUGGGGAAUAUUGCACAAUGGGCGCAAGCCUGAUGCAGCCAUGCCGCGUGUAUGAAGAAGGCCUUCGGGUUGUAAAGUACUUUCAGCGGGGAGGAAGGGAGUAAAGUUAAUACCUUUGCUCAUUGACGUUACCCGCAGAAGAAGCACCGGCUAACUCCGUGCCAGCAGCCGCGGUAAUACGGAGGGUGCAAGCGUUAAUCGGAAUUACUGGGCGUAAAGCGCACGCAGGCGGUUUGUUAAGUCAGAUGUGAAAUCCCCGGGCUCAACCUGGGAACUGCAUCUGAUACUGGCAAGCUUGAGUCUCGUAGAGGGGGGUAGAAUUCCAGGUGUAGCGGUGAAAUGCGUAGAGAUCUGGAGGAAUACCGGUGGCGAAGGCGGCCCCCUGGACGAAGACUGACGCUCAGGUGCGAAAGCGUGGGGAGCAAACAGGAUUAGAUACCCUGGUAGUCCACGCCGUAAACGAUGUCGACUUGGAGGUUGUGCCCUUGAGGCGUGGCUUCCGGAGCUAACGCGUUAAGUCGACCGCCUGGGGAGUACGGCCGCAAGGUUAAAACUCAAAUGAAUUGACGGGGGCCCGCACAAGCGGUGGAGCAUGUGGUUUAAUUCGAUGCAACGCGAAGAACCUUACCUGGUCUUGACAUCCACGGAAGUUUUCAGAGAUGAGAAUGUGCCUUCGGGAACCGUGAGACAGGUGCUGCAUGGCUGUCGUCAGCUCGUGUUGUGAAAUGUUGGGUUAAGUCCCGCAACGAGCGCAACCCUUAUCCUUUGUUGCCAGCGGUCCGGCCGGGAACUCAAAGGAGACUGCCAGUGAUAAACUGGAGGAAGGUGGGGAUGACGUCAAGUCAUCAUGGCCCUUACGACCAGGGCUACACACGUGCUACAAUGGCGCAUACAAAGAGAAGCGAUCUCGCGAGAGCAAGCGGACCUCAUAAAGUGCGUCGUAGUCCGGAUUGGAGUCUGCAACUCGACUCCAUGAAGUCGGAAUCGCUAGUAAUCGUGGAUCAGAAUGCCACGGUGAAUACGUUCCCGGGCCUUGUACACACCGCCCGUCACACCAUGGGAGUGGGUUGCAAAAGAAGUAGGUAGCUUAACCUUCGGGAGGGCGCUUACCACUUUGUGAUUCAUGACUGGGGUGAAGUCGUAACAAGGUAACCGUAGGGGAACCUGCGGUUGGAUCACCUCCUUACCUUAAAGAAGC
RNAcentral lists this ribosomal RNA (1554 nucleotides) under Escherichia coli. RNAcentral describes it as "bacterial SSU rRNA". It matches the Rfam family "Bacterial small subunit ribosomal RNA". Lineage: Bacteria; Pseudomonadati; Pseudomonadota; Gammaproteobacteria; Enterobacterales; Enterobacteriaceae. The record is from RNAcentral.